RNAcentral lists this long non-coding RNA (294 nucleotides) under Ananas comosus (pineapple). RNAcentral's name for it is "long non-coding RNA (ACOM_LNC038771)". Lineage: Eukaryota; Viridiplantae; Streptophyta; Magnoliopsida; Poales; Bromeliaceae. The record is from RNAcentral.
GAAUUAUGUUUGGAGGUCAGAAUAAGUUAUUCAGCUAUAACUUGCUCGAUAUAAAGAUUUUUUUUUUUGGGUGAUUGAAGGUUAGGAGUUUGAAUUUUGCUUUUGAAAAGUUUUCAUGUCUGUGAUUUGAUAAGAUAAUAUAAUUCAUCUGUGAUGUAAUUUAUAUUAUUCCAAAAAAUAAUCUAUAGUCUGAGUACGAUAUUUCAUUCUAAUUAUUUAAUCAAAUUUUUUACCUCCUAAAUACUACAAGUACUUUGAGUAAAUUAUACGGAUUUAUUGAAUAAGAUAUUCAUG